UAUACUUCUCUAAUUACUGCAUUUGCGCGUAAUGGGAGGUAUAGGGACGCGGUUAUGGUUUACAAGAAAAUGGAGGAGGAAGGGUGCCAACCUACUUUAAUUACUUACAAUGUGAUUUUGAAUGUUUAUGGGAAAAUGGGUAUGCCUUGGAGUAGAAUUUCAGCUGUGUUUGAAGGUAUGAAGAACUCUGGAGUUGUUCCUGAUGCUUAUACCUAUAAUACUCUUAUUACUUGUUGUCGUCGGGGAUCAUUGUAUGAGGAAGCUAGGCAGAUUUUNGAUUUGAUCUAUGAUAUUUUAAUUUUUAAAUAUGUUAAAUCAAACAAAUUGAGAAAGUAUUUUUUAUCGAUUUUUGAUCCUUAAUGGUUUGAUUUUCGAUUUAUCCAUUAAAAAAAACUCAUAAAAUAAAUAUAUGAUUUCUCUAAUAAGUUGACGUGAUACAAUGAAAAAUGUGAUAUGCUGAAACAAGUAAAUCAAUUAUAAAUGAUAGAAUGCUAUUGGAAAUUAGAACGAGACAAAUAAGAAAUUAUAAAAGUGAUGAACAUAUAUAUUUGUCUAGAAGAGAACAAAAUAUUUAUUGAGCAUCAAUAAACUCUUAUUUUAACCAAUAACCUAAUACUAAAAUUGAAAUCAAACUGAUAAUUCAAUAUUUUUUUUCAAAAUCAUACAUAACUCAUUAACCUAAUAAUUUAAUAAUAUUUUUUUAAUUUAUCCAUCCAUUUAAUUUUUCCACAUAAUACUCCAUCCUCAAACCGCGAAUUCUUUUGAGAAUGUAGGUUCCCCCUUAGGUGUUGAGUUGAAAUGGGUGACAGUUGAAAUUCACCAAAACAGAGAAGUAGAAUAAUUAAUUAAUUAAUAAAUAAAUAAGAAAAUAUCUUAGGAACAAAAAAUAACUGGCCACCAUGAAAACUAUAAUGAUGAAAGUAUUACCAAAUACAAACAAGAUAGGAGUGUUUCGUUAUUGCUUGAGGAUUACUAGCAGAAAGCUUUGACACUGUGUUAAUGGCGGACAAAUUAGGUCUUCCUCUUCUAUUACCAAAUCCUCCACCUUCAAAAUCCAUCUUUCAAGACUUCACUGUUUCCUCUAAUCAACCUUUAGCUCCAUUCUUAAAUGACCUCUUUCACCAUCAAAAUUCUCCUAACUUCACUUCUACUUCCACUCAAUCCGUUAAUUUGCCUUCUCCAAUUCCCAGAACUCGGCGGCGUAUUAUUGGCAAGGAUAAUGAUUCCAACAGAGGCAAACCAUGGAAUCCUCUUCGUCUUUCCCCUCAAGGUGAGAAAAUCCUCCAAACCCUAAUCCACCCAGAAUUUCAACCCGAAAAUAUUCACCAAAUUUUGCUUAGUUUGUAUACUGUGCAUCGUUUAGAAGGUUCUGAAUUGGAUAUAGAGUCCUUGAGUUCUGAUAUUUUGGGUAUUAUAAAGGGUUUAGGGUAUUACAAAAAAUGUGACUUAGCGUUGAAUGUGUUUGAAUGGGUGAGAAAUCGACCUAAUUCUGGGGUUUUGCUAAAUGGGUCUGUAAUUGCUGUGGUUAUAAGCAUGCUUGGCAAAGAGGGGAGGAUUUCGGCAGCUUCAUCGUUGCUUCACAAUUUGCAUAAAGAUGGUUUUUGUAUUGAUGUUUAUGGAUAUACUUCUCUAAUUACUGCAUUUGCGCGUAAUGGGAGGUAUAGGGACGCGGUUAUGGUUUACAAGAAAAUGGAGGAGGAAGGGUGCCAACCUACUUUAAUUACUUACAAUGUGAUUUUGAAUGUUUAUGGGAAAAUGGGUAUGCCUUGGAGUAGAAUUUCAGCUGUGUUUGAAGGUAUGAAGAACUCUGGAGUUGUUCCUGAUGCUUAU
RNAcentral lists this long non-coding RNA (1830 nucleotides) under Solanum pimpinellifolium. RNAcentral's name for it is "long non-coding RNA (SPIM_LNC000010)". The record is from RNAcentral. Lineage: Eukaryota; Viridiplantae; Streptophyta; Magnoliopsida; Solanales; Solanaceae.